AUUUCUAAUUUUCUAUCACCACGCUAUCUCUAAAAAAUAACCCUGACGUGCACGAUCAUAAUCGAUUUUGGUCGAUGAAGCAUAUGGUGACGAGUAGCAUCUCCUCUCCAAACUCGGUCACAAGUGCACACGAGAAACCAACCCUGAUGUGCCUGAAAAAGGAGCAUGUUCAGGUAAUGUUUUCGUCUUUAUUGCAUCUUUUUGUGCUUUGCUUUCCUCCGUAUUUCCCUUGCACUUCUUGAAAACCUAGAACCACCAUCGCCUAAUGCCACCGUCACCAACUAACCACCAUCUCAGAAGCCCCUCCCACAUCGCCUUUAAUCAACUUCAUAGAAAAAUCCCAUCACAUUCACUGCUUUUUUCUCUAAACGCUAGACAUCGUUGCCACUCCUCUUCUCUGUGAUUCCCCUAUCUCUUUCUCUCAAUCAAACAAUCUCAUCUGGUUUCAUUAUAAAGACUAUUUCAUAUUUUUGGGGUAUGUGUUGUCAAAAACAUCAACGUAUAUGUGCUAUUACAAACUUCAACGAGGUGGGAACCUAUUUUAAAACCAUCACAUCACAAACUCACCUGUAGAAACCCUAUACUUUACCACCAUCGCACCUCCUAAAAGCCUAGCCGCCGACCACCUAACGCAUCGCCUCUACAUCUCUCUAUUUGGCUUCCGAUCAGAGACACAUCACUGCCUCAUCACCAAGGUCUCUCUCUCUCUCUCUCUCUCUCUCUCUCUCUCUCUCUCUCUCUCUUAUCAUUUAUUUGUUUAGUAAGGCUUCAAGUUUUGUCAAUUUUAGUUUUUUUUUUAUUUGUGGGUAUUUUCUCAAAGAAAACCUGCAAAACGAAAGAAAUUGAAAAGAAUUGAACAAGUGUCCUGCAACAUUUGUUUGAUAACCGCAUGAUGGUUAGUUUUGUACUUUAAACAAGACUUCAUUACUGAUUUUAGUUUCUUUUGGAUCAUGGAUCUCUCUCGUCAUAUAAGUUUGUUGCUAUAUUGGAUAAAAAAACAAAGUAUUUUUUUCCCAAAUUGGCAGCAAAAAGAAAGUGUGUUGCUGCUUGGCACAUUUCACCUAAAAAAUAGGUUGACUGGUGUUGAUGUCGUCCAAAGUAAUAGCAAUAUCUACUCGGAUAAAAUGUUGUCAUAAAUAGUGAAAAAGACAACAUGUUGCUGAUUUGCUGUGAAGAAAGGAUGUGGAGUAAGAGGACCGACAUUUACAUCUGAG
RNAcentral lists this long non-coding RNA (1214 nucleotides) under Lactuca sativa (garden lettuce). RNAcentral describes it as "long non-coding RNA (LSAT_LNC007127)". Lineage: Eukaryota; Viridiplantae; Streptophyta; Magnoliopsida; Asterales; Asteraceae. The record is from RNAcentral.